GACGAACGCUGGCGGCGUGCUUAACACAUGCAAGUCGAACGGACAGGCCCUGCUUUUGUGGGGUGCUCGAGUGGCGAACGGGUGAGUAACACGUGAGUAACCUGCCCUUGACUUUGGGAUAACUUCUGGAAACUGGGGCUAAUACCGGAUAGGAGCUCCUGCUGCAUGGUGGGGGUUGGAAAGUUUCGGCGGUUGGGGAUGGACUCGCGGCUUAUCAGCUUGUUGGUGGGGUAGUGGCUUAACAAGGCUUUGACGGGUAGCCGGCCUGGGCGGGUGACCGGCCACAUUGGGACUGAGAUACGGCGCAGACUCCUACGGGAGGCAGCAGUGGGGAAUAUUGCACAAUGGGCGGAAGCCUGAUGCAGCAACGCCGCGUGCGGGAUGACGGCCUUCGGGUUGUAAACCGCUUUCGCCUGUGACGAAGCGUGAGUGACGGUAAUGGGUAAAGAAGCACCGGCUAACUACGUG
Molecule: ribosomal RNA, 468 nt
Filed under: uncultured bacterium
Lineage: Bacteria
Description: partial 16S ribosomal RNA
Rfam family: Bacterial small subunit ribosomal RNA
Source: RNAcentral